AUGAUUUGGUCCAAUUUUGCUCGCAGUUCAAAUUUGACCCGCUUCCAGCUGAAUCGGUGGAAAUUUGUCUUUUUCACCAGAAGCGAUUCCAGCAUGGUGGUCGUCGGCUCCGCGGACACCUUCGAGGACAUCCAUGCCAAGGUGCAAGUGGAGAAGCUCCCCGCCGUCUUCUACUACACGGCUGUCUGGUGUGGGUCGUGUCGGGUGAUGGCACCUGUGAUCGAGAAGAUGAGGAGGCAGUACCCCAAGAUACCCGUGUACAAGGUGGACAUCGACAUGGUGAUUAGGGACUUAGGAGCAAUUCUCUUGCUGGUAUGCAUGUAUGCCUCUGCUUUGGUCUUACUGCAUGUGAGCUCGGUUGUCAAGUGUGAAGCCGUGAAGUGUGAAGUCGUCAAGUUCUACUUAGUGAAGAGUAGCAUAUUGUAG
Molecule: ribosomal RNA, 426 nt
Filed under: Triticum aestivum (bread wheat)
Lineage: Eukaryota; Viridiplantae; Streptophyta; Magnoliopsida; Poales; Poaceae
Description: partial small subunit ribosomal RNA
Source: RNAcentral